Molecule: transfer RNA, 73 nt
Filed under: Aeromonas phage L9-6
Lineage: Duplodnaviria; Heunggongvirae; Uroviricota; Caudoviricetes; Pantevenvirales; Straboviridae
Description: tRNA-Thr
Rfam family: tRNA
About the family: Transfer RNA (tRNA) molecules are approximately 80 nucleotides in length.
Source: RNAcentral
GCUGGAUUAGCUCAUCUGGAAGAGCAGUUGUUUUGUAAGCAUCAGGUGGUCCGUUCGAGUCGGACAUCCAGCA